CCCCUAGAUGUUCUGGGCCGCACGCGCGCUACACUGAACAGUUCAACAAGUCUUAACCUUGGCCGAUAGGUCUGGGUAAUCUUUGAACGCUGUUCGUGAUUGGGAUAGACCUUUGCAAUUAUGGGUCUUCAACGAGGAAUUCCUAGUAAACGCAAGUCAUCAGCUUGCAUUGAUUACGUCCCUGCCCUUUGUACACGCCGCCCGUCGCACCUACCGAUUGAAUGGUCCGGUGAAAUCUCGGGACGGCGGCUCGGUCGCUUGCGUCCGACUGCUGAAACUUGAUUAAACCAUAUCAUUUAGAGGAAGGUGAAGUCGUAACA
RNAcentral lists this ribosomal RNA (320 nucleotides) under uncultured eukaryote. RNAcentral's name for it is "partial 18S ribosomal RNA". It matches the Rfam family "Eukaryotic small subunit ribosomal RNA", at positions 1470 to 1796 of the family's 1831-position model. The record is from RNAcentral.